CAGGAUGAACGCUAGCGACAGGCCUAACACAUGCAAGUCGAGGGGCGAGCACAAGGAGCAAUCUGAGGUGGCGACCGGCGCACGGGUGAGUAACACGUAUGCAACCUGCCUGUAAGCGGGGAAUAACCCGUUGAAAGACGGACUAAUACCGCAUAAUACUAAAUUACUGCAUGGUAAUUUAUUUAAACAUUUAUGGCUUACAGAUGGGCAUGCGCAUGAUUAGCUAGUUGGAGAGGUAACGGCUCCCCAAGGCAACGAUCAUUAGGGGUUCUGAGAGGAAGGUCCCCCACACUGGUACUGAGACACGGACCAGACUCCUACGGGAGGCAGCAGUGAGGAAUAUUGGUCAAUGGACGAGAGUCUGAACCAGCCAAGUCGCGUGCAGGAAGAAUGUCCUAUGGAUUGUAAACUGCUUUUGCAGGGGAAUAAAGUGCAUCACGUGUGAUGUUUUGUAUGUACUCUGCGAAUAAGGAUCGGCUAACUCCGUGCCAGCCGCCGC
Molecule: ribosomal RNA, 499 nt
Filed under: uncultured bacterium
Lineage: Bacteria
Description: bacterial SSU rRNA
Rfam family: Bacterial small subunit ribosomal RNA
Source: RNAcentral